RNAcentral lists this ribosomal RNA (253 nucleotides) under uncultured bacterium. Its description in RNAcentral is "partial 16S ribosomal RNA". It matches the Rfam family "Bacterial small subunit ribosomal RNA", at positions 524 to 776 of the family's 1533-position model. The record is from RNAcentral.
GACAGAGGCCCCAAGCGUUAGGCGGAAUCACUGGGCUUAAAGCGUGUGUAGGCGGACGCCUAAGUGUCUUGUGAAAUCCCCCGGCUCACCCGGGGAACUGCUGGGCAUACUGGGCGUCUUGGGCCAACUAGGGGCAGCCGGAACAAGCGGUGGAGCGGUGAAAUGCGCAGAUAUCAGGAGGAACACCGGUGGCGAAGGCGGGUCUCUGGGCCGUAACUGACGCUGAGGAGCGAAAGCGUGGGGAGCGAACAGG